AGACCCGAAACCCGGUGAUCUAGCCAUGGGCAGGUUGAAGGUUGGGUAACACUAACUGGAGGACCGAACCGACUAAUGUUGAAAAAUUAGCGGAUGACCUGUGGCUGGGGGUGAAAGGCCAAUCAAACCGGGAGAUAGCUGGUUCUCCCCGAAAGCUAUUUAGGUAGCGCCUCGUGAAUUCAUCUCCGGGGGUAGAGCACUGUUUCGGCUAGGGGGCCAUCCCGGCUUACCAACCCGAUGCAAACUGCGAAUACCGGAGAAUGUUAUCACGGGAGACACACGGCGGGUGCUAACGUCCGUCGUGAAGAGGGAAACAACCCAGACCGCCAGCUAAGGUCCCAAAGUCAUGGUUAAGUGGGAAACGAUGUGGGAAGGCCCAGACAGCCAGGAUGUUGGCUUAGAAGCAGCCAUCAUUUAAAGAAAGCGUAAUAGCUCACUGGUCGAGUCGGCCUGCGCGGAAGAUGUAACGGGGCUAAACCAUGC
RNAcentral lists this ribosomal RNA (483 nucleotides) under Salmonella enterica subsp. enterica serovar Infantis. RNAcentral describes it as "partial 23S ribosomal RNA". It matches the Rfam family "Bacterial large subunit ribosomal RNA", at positions 711 to 1192 of the family's 2925-position model. RNAcentral also lists the same sequence under 12 other names. The record is from RNAcentral. Lineage: Bacteria; Pseudomonadati; Pseudomonadota; Gammaproteobacteria; Enterobacterales; Enterobacteriaceae.